AGCGAACGCUGGCGGCAGGCCUAACACAUGCAAGUCGAACGAACUCUUCGGAGUUAGUGGCGGACGGAUGAGUAAACCUGGGGACGGGGCCUUUAGGUCCGGAAUAACCAAGGGAAAUUUGGGUAAUUACCGAAUGGGCCUUCCGGGGGAAGGAUUAAUCGCCUUAAGGGCGGCCCGGGCCUGAUUAGCUAGUUGGGGAGGUAAAGGCUCACCAAGGCGACGAUCAGUAGCUGGUCUGAGAGGAUGAUCAGCCACAUUGGGACUGAGACACGGCCCAAACUCCUACGGGAGGCAGCAGUGGGGAAUCUUGCGCAAUGGGCGAAAGCCUGACGCAGCCAUGCCGCGUGAAUGAUGAAGGUCUUAGGAUUGUAAAAUUCUUUCACCGGGGACGAUAAUGACGGUACCCGGAGAAGAAGCCCCGGCUAACUUCGUGCCAGCCGCCGCAGUAA
Molecule: ribosomal RNA, 449 nt
Filed under: uncultured bacterium
Lineage: Bacteria
Description: partial 16S ribosomal RNA
Rfam family: Bacterial small subunit ribosomal RNA
Source: RNAcentral